GAGUUUGAUCGUGGCUCAGAUUGAACGCUGGCGGCAUGCCUUACACAUGCAAGUCGAACGGCAGCAUGAUCUAGCUUGCUAGAUUGAUGGCGAGUGGCGAACGGGUGAGUAAUACAUCGGAACGUGCCCUGUAGUGGGGGAUAACUAGUCGAAAGAUUAGCUAAUACCGCAUACGACCUGAGGGUGAAAGUGGGGGACCGCAAGGCCUCAUGCUAUAGGAGCGGCCGAUGUCUGAUUAGCUAGUUGGUGGGUAAAGGCCCACCAAGGCGACGAUCAGUAGCUGGUCUGAGAGGACGAUCAGCCACACUGGGACUGAGACACGGCCCAGACUCCUACGGGAGGCAGCAGUGGGGAAUUUUGGACGAAUGGGCGAAAGACCUGAUCCAGC
RNAcentral lists this ribosomal RNA (388 nucleotides) under uncultured microorganism. RNAcentral describes it as "bacterial SSU rRNA". It matches the Rfam family "Bacterial small subunit ribosomal RNA", at positions 9 to 392 of the family's 1533-position model. The record is from RNAcentral.